GACUGUUAGAUAUAUGUGAUGACGUGAUUAGACUAUGUGCUGACUGUAAUAGACAGUACUAUGUGUUAUGAUAUAUUGUUCUAAUCGAACGAAUGAUCUGAUUAUUGAUAGGUUGUGAUAAAGAGAUAAAACCUAAGUUGAGAUUUGUAAUCAGCGAAUCAGGCAAGUAUCCUACCUUUGCAUUUUCUUUAUGCAAUGGACAUGAGUAAGAAGUUUCAGAAUUAUUCUAUUCCUGUACAGAUUAUGUACGCUUUGAUUAUCAACAUGUUAGCU
This 273-nucleotide long non-coding RNA is filed under the name Panax ginseng (ginseng). RNAcentral's name for it is "long non-coding RNA (PGIN_LNC000197)". Lineage: Eukaryota; Viridiplantae; Streptophyta; Magnoliopsida; Apiales; Araliaceae. The record is from RNAcentral.